UACAGAGGUGGCAAGCGUUGUUCGGAAUUACUGGGCGUAAAGGGCGCGUAGGCGGCGCGGGUAGUCAACGGUGAAAGCUCAGGGCUCAACCCUGAGUCGGCCGUCGAUACUCCCGUGCUUGAGCACUGUAGAGGCAGGUGGAAUUCCGGGUGUAGCGGUGGAAUGCGUAGAGAUCCGGAAGAACACCGGUGGCGAAGGCGGCCUGCUGGGCAGUAGCUGACGCUGAUGCGCGACAGCGUGGGGAGCAAACAGG
Molecule: ribosomal RNA, 253 nt
Filed under: uncultured bacterium
Lineage: Bacteria
Description: partial 16S ribosomal RNA
Rfam family: Bacterial small subunit ribosomal RNA
Source: RNAcentral